GCAGAGUCUGUGGCUCAGUAGUAAAGCAUCUGUUUGGUAUUCAAAAGGUCCCAGUAUCGAUCCCUGGCAGCUACA
Molecule: transfer RNA, 75 nt
Filed under: Sphaerodactylus townsendi
Lineage: Eukaryota; Metazoa; Chordata; Lepidosauria; Squamata; Sphaerodactylidae
Description: tRNA-Thr
Source: RNAcentral